UGCAGUCGAGCGGACAGAAGGGAGCUUGCUCCCGGAUGUUAGCGGCGGACGGGUGAGUAACACGUGGGUAACCUGCCUGUAAGACUGGGAUAACUCCGGGAAACCGGAGCUAAUACCGGAUAGUUCCUUGAACCGCAUGGUUCAAGGAUGAAAGACGGUUUCGGCUGUCACUUACAGAUGGACCCGCGGCGCAUUAGCUAGUUGGUGAGGUAACGGCUCACCAAGGCGACGAUGCGUAGCCGACCUGAGAGGGUGAUCGGCCACACUGGGACUGAGACACGGCCCAGACUCCUACGGGAGGCAGCAGUAGGGAAUCUUCCGCAAUGGACGAAAGUCUGACGGAGCAACGCCGCGUGAGUGAUGAAGGUUUUCGGAUCGUAAAGCUCUGUUGUUAGGGAAGAACAAGUGCAAGAGUAACUGCUUGCACCUUGACGGUACCUAACCAGAAAGCCACGGCUAACUACGUGCCAGCAGCCGCGGUAAUACGUAGGUGGCAAGCGUUGUCCGGAAUUAUUGGGCGUAAAGGGCUCGCAGGCGGUUUCUUAAGUCUGAUGUGAAAGCCCCCGGCUCAACCGGGGAGGGUCAUUGGAAACUGGGAAACUUGAGUGCAGAAGAGGAGAGUGGAAUUCCACGUGUAGCGGUGAAAUGCGUAGAGAUGUGGAGGAACACCAGUGGCGAAGGCGACUCUCUGGUCUGUAACUGACGCUGAGGAGCGAAAGCGUGGGGAGCGAACAGGAUUAGAUACCCUGGUAGUCCACGCCGUAAACGAUGAGUGCUAAGUGUUAGGGGGUUUCCGCCCCUUAGUGCUGCAGCUAACGCAUUAAGCACUCCGCCUGGGGAGUACGGUCGCAAGACUGAAACUCAAAGGAAUUGACGGGGGCCCGCACAAGCGGUGGAGCAUGUGGUUUAAUUC
Molecule: ribosomal RNA, 913 nt
Filed under: Bacillus aerius
Lineage: Bacteria; Bacillati; Bacillota; Bacilli; Caryophanales; Bacillaceae
Description: bacterial SSU rRNA
Rfam family: Bacterial small subunit ribosomal RNA
Source: RNAcentral